GUGAACGCUGGCGGGAGGCCUAACCCAUGCAAGUCGAACGGCAGCACAGUAAGAGCUUGCUCUUACGGGUGGCGAGUGGCGGACGGGUGAGGAAUACAUCGGAAUCUACUUUUUCGUGGGGGAUAACGUAGGGAAACUUACGCUAAUACCGCAUACGACCUACGGGUGAAAGCAGGGGAUCUUCGGACCUUGCGCGAUUGAAUGAGCCGAUGUCGGAUUAGCUAGUUGGCGGGGUAAAGGCCCACCAAGGCGACGAUCCGUAGCUGGUCUGAGAGGAUGAUCGGCCGCACUGGAACUGAGACACGGUCCAGACUCCUACGGGAGGCAGCAGUGGGGAAUAUUGGACAAUGGGCGCAAGCCUGAUCCAGCCAUCCCGCGUGGGUGAAGAAGGCCUUCGGGUUGUAAAGCCCUUUUGUUGGGAAAGAAAAGCAGCAGGUUAAUACCCCGCUGUUCUGACGGUACCCAAAGAAUAAGCACCGGCUAACUUCGUG
RNAcentral lists this ribosomal RNA (491 nucleotides) under uncultured bacterium. Its description in RNAcentral is "partial 16S ribosomal RNA". It matches the Rfam family "Bacterial small subunit ribosomal RNA", at positions 29 to 507 of the family's 1533-position model. The record is from RNAcentral.